GUCCACGCCGUAAACGAUGGAUACUAGCUGUUGGGCGCAAGUUCAGUGGCUAAGCGAAAGUGAUAAGUAUCCCACCUGGGGAGUACGUUCGCAAGAAUGAAAACUCAAAAGGAAUUGACGGGGGCCCGCACAAGCGGUGGAGCAUGUGGUUUAAUUCGAUGAUACGCGAGGAACCUUACCAAGGCUUAAAUGUAGAUUGACCGGUUUGGAAACAGAUCUUUCGCAAAGACAAUUUACAAGGUGCUGCAUGGUUGUCGU
RNAcentral lists this ribosomal RNA (258 nucleotides) under uncultured bacterium. Its description in RNAcentral is "partial 16S ribosomal RNA". It matches the Rfam family "Bacterial small subunit ribosomal RNA", at positions 793 to 1055 of the family's 1533-position model. The record is from RNAcentral.